GACGAACCGUCCAAACGUUAUUCGGUAUCACUGGGCUUAAAGCGUGCGUAGGCGGCCUGGUAGGUGAGAUGUGAAAGCCCACGGCUCAACCGUGGGAUUGCGUUUCAAACCACCAGGCUGGAGGAUGGCAGGGGUGAUGGGAACUGAUGGUGGAGCGGUGAAAUGCGUUGAUAUCAUCAGGAACACCGGUGGCGAAGGCGCAUCACUGGCCCAUUUCUGACGCUGAGGCACGAAAGCGUGGGGAUCAAACAGGAUUAGAUA
RNAcentral lists this ribosomal RNA (261 nucleotides) under uncultured prokaryote. Its description in RNAcentral is "partial 16S ribosomal RNA". It matches the Rfam family "Bacterial small subunit ribosomal RNA", at positions 524 to 784 of the family's 1533-position model. The record is from RNAcentral.